GGAUCUUGGGAGAGUCUGCCCGAAUAUGUGGCGGCACCGAAGGAGCAAGGAGACGGCGAUGCAACCCGUCACCCGAAUCUCUCAGGUACAAGGACCAGG
RNAcentral lists this non-coding RNA (99 nucleotides) under Paenibacillus senegalimassiliensis. RNAcentral's name for it is "Glycine riboswitch". It matches the Rfam family "Glycine riboswitch aptamer", at positions 9 to 86 of the family's 94-position model. From Rfam's summary of the family: This family represents the bacterial glycine riboswitch. Glycine riboswitches usually consist of two metabolite-binding aptamers domains with similar structures in tandem. The aptamers cooperatively bind glycine to regulate the expression of downstream genes. Lineage: Bacteria; Bacillati; Bacillota; Bacilli; Caryophanales; Paenibacillaceae. The record is from RNAcentral.